UACAGAGGUGGCAAGCGUUGUUCGGAUUUAUUGGGCGUAAAGGGUCCGUAGGCGGCCUGGAAAGUUGGAUGUGAAAUCCCACAGCUUAACUGUGGAACUGCAUUCAAAACUUCUAGGCUCGAGUGUGAUAGGGGUAAAGGGAAUUCCCGGUGUAAGGGUGAAAUCUGCAGAGAUCGGGAGGAACACCAGUCGCGAAGGCGCUUUACUGGAUCACUACUGACGCUGAGGGACGAAAGCCAGGGGAGCAAACGGG
Molecule: ribosomal RNA, 253 nt
Filed under: uncultured bacterium
Lineage: Bacteria
Also listed under: 1 other name
Description: partial 16S ribosomal RNA
Rfam family: Bacterial small subunit ribosomal RNA
Source: RNAcentral